GUGCUUAGUCUUGCAGCACAUAUACAGUCCUAAAAUUGGAACGAUAUAGAGAUUGGCAUAGCCCUUGCACAAGCAUGACACACAAAUUUAUGAAGCAUUCCAUAUUUUG
Molecule: small nuclear RNA, 109 nt
Organism: Rhinolophus ferrumequinum (greater horseshoe bat)
Lineage: Eukaryota; Metazoa; Chordata; Mammalia; Chiroptera; Rhinolophidae
Source: Ensembl